This 28-nucleotide non-coding RNA is filed under the name Homo sapiens (human). The record is from RNAcentral. Lineage: Eukaryota; Metazoa; Chordata; Mammalia; Primates; Hominidae.
UGGCAGUGCAGUGUGCCUGGGAGCUGUC